ACACGGGAAAGGAGGUGGUCCAGCAGAUGAGCUACAGCAGGACACGUGAGGUGGCCGUCAGCUAGCACCACGUUCUGCUCCGGCGGGGAGAACCCGUACGGAGAGACGGUCGUGGAAGCCGGUGUGGUGCCGGCGAGUUCCCGACGGUCACCCGUGAUCCCCGGGCCCGAGCCUUGUCCGGUUCGGCUGCGCGCACCGCCCGGUGCGGCCCGGGGAUCACGCACGUC
Molecule: small RNA, 227 nt
Filed under: Pseudonocardia sp. EC080619-01
Lineage: Bacteria; Bacillati; Actinomycetota; Actinomycetes; Pseudonocardiales; Pseudonocardiaceae
Description: Actinobacteria sRNA Ms_IGR-5
Rfam family: Actinobacteria sRNA Ms_IGR-5
Source: Rfam by way of RNAcentral